This 253-nucleotide ribosomal RNA is filed under the name uncultured bacterium. RNAcentral's name for it is "partial 16S ribosomal RNA". It matches the Rfam family "Bacterial small subunit ribosomal RNA", at positions 524 to 776 of the family's 1533-position model. The record is from RNAcentral.
UACGUAGGGGGCAAGCGUUGUCCGGAAUCAUUGGGCGUAAAGAGCGCGUAGGCGGCCCUGUAAGUCCGCUGUGAAAGUCCAGGGCUCAACCCUGGGAUGCCGGUGGAUACUGUCGAGCUUGAGUCCGGAAGAGGCGAGUGGAAUUCCUGGUGUAGCGGUGAAAUGCGCAGAUAUCAGGAGGAACACCAAUGGCGAAGGCAGCUCGCUGGGACGUGACUGACGCUGAGACGCGAAAGCGUGGGGAGCAAACAGG